Mya arenaria is the source of this 546-nucleotide long non-coding RNA. RefSeq lists it as uncharacterized. The record is from RefSeq and is a predicted model, not a curated record. The transcript has 3 exons. Lineage: Eukaryota; Metazoa; Mollusca; Bivalvia; Myida; Myidae.
GAGUUAUCAAGACGCUUUAUGAAUUAAAAUAUUUCUAUAAGUUUAGAAUGUAACCAACAUUGUACAUUUUAAUGAUACUAUACAAACAUUUAUAAAAGCGAAUGGAUGAGUCGUAAUUAACCUACCGAAUCAAGGCGCUGAAAUUGAUGAAAGACUGUCGGUGAAGUUACUGAAGCAAGCAAACACUACCGAUUCUGAUGUGCCAUAAAGCUGUAGCAAGGUUCCACCAUAGAUCAAACAAUCUGAAACCGGGAGAUGCAGCCCUGAAUUCCACAUUUAAAGAGAAUGGAGAUGUUAGUCACCCCAGUAGGACUUGUUUUUGUGUUAUUUAUUAACACGUGUGACAUUUAGAGCAAAUGUGUUAUAAAUGAGCAACAUGUAGACAUUUGCAAAAUGUUGUUUUCUGAAAUCUGUGUCAAAUUUAGCAUUUGAAACCAGAUACUUUCAGAUUUUUUUUUCAGUUUUAAGUAUUUUUGUUUUCCAUUACUUUUGUUGCGCUAUUUUUUCGUGAAGCGUACAAUUAUAAUGGUGUUGUGACCGUCAAUG